CUGAAUUCCUUACAAAAAUGAAUCUUAAAGCUAAAACAGUUCAGGUCCAACCAAUGUUUUAAAAAACGCGCCUUGGGCGCGCCUUGAGGCUCAAAAGGCGCGAGGCGCAUGAAAAAUUCCUUAUGUUUUGCUGGUUAGGCGUAGAGACGCAAAAGGCGCAAAAAACGCACUCUAAGGCGCAUAAGGCGUGCGCCUAGUGUAAGUGAAGGAAAACGGGAUCGUUUUGGGUAAGUGUUUUACUUAAGGCUGGGUCGUGUGCCUCCCUCUCUCUUUUCGCCCUCCUUCCCUCCUCCCUCUCCCUCUCGAACAUAGAGACACAAUCGACCACCACCAGGAUUCCACCAGUUUGCGACCACCACCGACCAUCUGACCAUCGACCACCACUAAGAUUCUGACCAUCGGACCAGUCGACCACCGCCUCGUCGCUGCCUUCUGCAACUCAAUCGCCUCAAACCUCUUCCUCCUAAGCCUCGCAUUACGGUCACCAACUCACCAUUGAUUUGAGGUAUGCAGUACGCACAUCAUUCCGAAUUUCCGAUUCAAUUGGACUGUUGUGAAUUGUGUUUUCUUAGUAUAUGAUGCAACAUUGUGCUCUGAUUAUCUAAGUAUAGAUUGGAGCAGGCUUCCUGUAAAUGCUCACAACUCUGUGUUGGUUUUGUCUAAGUAUAGAACUAUAGAUUGCCUUUGUCAAUGGUGUGUUGCAGAUAGCAUUUACAGGAAGCUGCCUGUAAAUGGUGUGUUGGUUUUGUCAAUGGUGUGUUGGUUUUGUCUAAAUAUAGAACUAUAGAUUGCCUUUGUCAAUGGUGUGUUGCAGACAGCAUUUACAGGAAGCUACCUGUAAAUGGUGUGUGUGUGUGUUUUUUUUUUCAAAAGGCUUACGCUUUAGUGAGGCUCUCUUUUCAUAACCUCGGCUACGCCUUAGUUUUUUAAAACAUUGGGUCCAAUGCAAAUUAAAGGAUGACAGAUAUGUAUAUUUAUGGAUAUGUUGGCUGGUGUAAUGUAGGUUGGGACUUGGGAGUUAUGAGUUGGGGGAUACUUUAAUUUAACUAAUAUGAUUAUUGAAUGAUUUUAAGGACUUUUUGUUUCUAAAUAGUACUUUUUGAGAAGUAUAGAUUCUUUUACCUAAAACUGGGUGUGCGUGUGUGUGUAUAUAUACAUGCAGACCUUAAUCAUGUCCUAAUCUUGAACAUAAGAUAGAAGUAUCUUCUAACAUAUAUGCUUUGUUUCAUAAUUAUAUGCAAAUCUAAGUUGUUCAACCAAAAUGUAGACCUUAAUAUUGUAUGAGUGACAACCAAGUUUGUAGACAUUCUCAACUGUUUUUCUGUAUUAAAAAGAAUACUUCGUGUAACAGUGUACUGGAGAUUUUGAAUCUAAGAUCUCUAAGACCUCAUUAGCUUCCAUGUGGUUGGCAAUGUCAAUUUCAAGCGAUAUAGGCCACCCAUAUACAUCAUUAUUAAGAACUCAACCGAAAAAUAAUAUUGACUUUAAAAUUAAAACAACAACGAAUUAGUUGUAUGUCAUUACAUCAAGACGAAAAGAACACUUGAUGAACUAAAAUGAGCAAUUC
RNAcentral lists this long non-coding RNA (1567 nucleotides) under Fragaria vesca (wild strawberry). RNAcentral's name for it is "long non-coding RNA (FVES_LNC001638)". Lineage: Eukaryota; Viridiplantae; Streptophyta; Magnoliopsida; Rosales; Rosaceae. The record is from RNAcentral.